Molecule: ribosomal RNA, 411 nt
Filed under: uncultured bacterium
Lineage: Bacteria
Description: bacterial SSU rRNA
Rfam family: Bacterial small subunit ribosomal RNA
Source: RNAcentral
AAUCAACGCUGGCGGCGUGCCUCAGACAUGCAAGUCGAACGGCAGCAUGAGUGAGGGUAACCUUACUUGAUGGCGAGUGGCGGACGGGUGAGUAAUAUGUAGGAAUCUACCUAGAGGUGCGGGAUAACUUAGGGAAACUUAAGCUAAUACCACAUAAUCCCUAAAGGGGGAAAGCAGGGGCUCGCAAGACCUUGCGCCUUAUGAUGAGCCUACAUCGGAUUAGCAGUUGGUGGGGUAAAGGCCUACCAAGGCGACGAUCCGUAGCUGGUCUGAGAGGAUGAUCAGCCACACUGGGACUGAGACACGGCCCAGACUCCUACGGGAGGCAGCAGUGGGGAAUAUUGGACAAUGGGGGCAACCCUGAUCCAGCAAUGCCGCGUGUGUGAAGAAGGCCUUAGGGUUGUAAAGCAC